AAAUAAAGAAUAUACCCAACCUCUCUCCGUGGGGGCCCGGUGUGUGGUGGCUGCCAAUAGCAGCUUCCUUAGGAGUGUACAAGGCCUGUUGCUUGUAUGGGUUGCCCUAAGGGACCUUGGAGACAGCC
Molecule: small nucleolar RNA, 128 nt
Filed under: Dasypus novemcinctus (nine-banded armadillo)
Lineage: Eukaryota; Metazoa; Chordata; Mammalia; Cingulata; Dasypodidae
Description: Small nucleolar RNA SNORA70 (ENSDNOG00000030167.1)
Rfam family: Small nucleolar RNA SNORA70
About the family: snoRNA U70 seems to be exclusive to mammals and is a member of the H/ACA class of snoRNA which contain H (ANANNA) and ACA box motifs. H/ACA box snoRNAs are involved in the conversion of uridines to pseudouridines (5-ribosyluracil) a constituent of structural RNAs (transfer, ribosomal, small nuclear, and small nucleolar).
Source: RNAcentral